UGAUUUCGGGAUAAGCCUGGGAAACUGGGUCUAAUACCGGAUACGACCACCUGACGCAUGGCGGGUGGUGUAAAGUUUUUCGAUCGGGGAUGGGCUCGCGGCCUAUCAUCUUGUUGGUGGGGUAAUGGCCUACCACGGCGACGACGGGUACCCGGCCUGAGAGGGCGACCGGCCACACUGGGACUGAGACACGGCCCAUACUCCUACGGGAGGCGGCAGUGGGGAAUAUUGCACAAUGGGGGAAACCCUGAUGCACCGACGCAGCGUGCGGGAUGACGGCCUUCGGGUUGUAAACCGCUUUCAACAGGGAAGAACCUAAAGUGACGGUACCUGCAGAAGAAGUACCGGCUAACUACGUGCCAGCACCCGCGGUAAUACGUAGGGUACGAGCGUUGUCCGGAAUUAUUGGGCGUAAAGAGCUCGUAGGUGGUUGGUCACGUCUGCUGUGGAAACGCAACGCUUAACGUUGCGCGUGCAGUGGGUACGGGCUGACUAGAGUGC
Molecule: ribosomal RNA, 501 nt
Filed under: Brevibacterium epidermidis
Lineage: Bacteria; Bacillati; Actinomycetota; Actinomycetes; Micrococcales; Brevibacteriaceae
Description: bacterial SSU rRNA
Rfam family: Bacterial small subunit ribosomal RNA
Source: RNAcentral